RNAcentral lists this unclassified non-coding RNA (162 nucleotides) under uncultured Hypocreales. Its description in RNAcentral is "sequence contains ITS2". Lineage: Eukaryota; Fungi; Ascomycota; Sordariomycetes; Hypocreales. The record is from RNAcentral. RNAcentral also lists the same sequence under 1 other name.
CAACCCUCAAGCUCCGGCUUGGUGUUGGGGAUCGGCAGCCCGGCUUCGCGCCGACGCCGUCCCCCAAAUGCAGUGGCGGUCACGCUGUAGCUUCCUAUGCGUAGUAGCACACCUCGCACUGGAGAGCAGCGCGGCCACGCCGUAAAACCCCCAACUUUUUGU